CGGACGGGUGAGUAACGCGUGAGAAUCUGCCCUCAGGAGGGGGAUAACAGUUGGAAACGACUGCUAAUACCCCAUAUGCCGAAAGGUGAAACGAAUUUCGCCUGGGGAUGAGCUCGCGUCUGAUUAGCUUGUUGGUGGGGUAAAGGCCUACCAAGGCUUCGAUCAGUAGCUGGUCUGAGAGGACGAUCAGCCACACUGGGACUGAGACACGGCCCAGACUCCUACGGGAGGCAGCAGUGGGGAAUUUUCCGCAAUGGGCGAAAGCCUGACGGAGCAACGCCGCGUGAGGGAUGAAGGCCUUUGGGCUGUAAACCUCUUUUCUCAAGGAAGAAGAUCUGACGGUACUUGAGGAAUAAGCCACGGCUAAUUCCGUGCCAGCAGCCGCGGUAAUACGGGAGUGGCAAGCGUUAUCCGGAAUUAUUGGGCAUAAAGCGUCCGCAGGCGGCCGUCUAAGUCUGUUGUUAAAUCGUGGAGCUUAACUCCAUCACGGCAAUGGAAACUGUUCGGCUUGAGUGUGGUAGGGGCAGAGGGAAUUUCCGGUGUAGCGGUGAAAUGCGUAGAUAUCGGGAAGAACACCAGUGGCGAAAGCGCUCUGCUAGGCCAUUACUGACGCUCAUGGACGAAAGCCAGGGGAGCGAAAGGGAUUAGAUACCCCUGUAGUC
RNAcentral lists this ribosomal RNA (662 nucleotides) under uncultured bacterium. Its description in RNAcentral is "bacterial SSU rRNA". It matches the Rfam family "Bacterial small subunit ribosomal RNA", at positions 99 to 795 of the family's 1533-position model. The record is from RNAcentral.